This 477-nucleotide ribosomal RNA is filed under the name uncultured bacterium. Its description in RNAcentral is "bacterial SSU rRNA". It matches the Rfam family "Bacterial small subunit ribosomal RNA", at positions 20 to 507 of the family's 1533-position model. The record is from RNAcentral.
UGGCUCAGGAUGAACGCUUAGCGGCAGGCUUAAUACAUGCAAGUCAAGGGGGUAGCAAUACAACCGGCGCACGGGUGAGUAACACGUACACAACAUACCAUAUACUGAGGUAUAGCUUCGGGAGACUGAAGGUAAUCCCUCAUAGUAUUGUGAAAGGGCAUCUUUUUACAAUUAAAGUUUCGACGGUAUAUGAUUGGUGUGCGUUUGAUUAGCUAGUUGGUAGGGUAACGGCCUACCAAGGCAACGAUCAAUAGCUGGCGUGAGAGCGCGACCAGCCACACUGGAACUGAGACACGGUCCAGACUCCUACGGGAGGCAGCAGUAGGGAAUAUUGGACAAUGGGCGAAAGCCUGAUCCAGCCAUGCCGCGUGAUAGAUGGAGGCCCUCUGGGUUGUAAAUAUCUUUUAUCUGGGAAGAAACACUUCUAUUCUUAGAAGCUUGACGGUACCAGAGGAAUAAGCACCGGCUAACUCCGUG